RNAcentral lists this ribosomal RNA (501 nucleotides) under uncultured bacterium. Its description in RNAcentral is "partial 16S ribosomal RNA". It matches the Rfam family "Bacterial small subunit ribosomal RNA", at positions 29 to 523 of the family's 1533-position model. The record is from RNAcentral.
AUUGAACGCUGGCGGCAUGCCUUACACAUGCAAGUCGAACGGCAGCACGGGUGCUUGCACCUGGUGGCGAGUGGCGAACGGGUGAGUAAGACAUCGGAACGUACCGUAUCGUGGGGGAUAACGCAGCGAAAGCUGUGCUAAUACCGCAUACGCCCUGAGGGGGAAAGCGGGGGAUCGAAAGACCUCGCGCGAUUAGAGCGGCCGAUGCCUGAUUAGCUUGUUGGUGGGGUAAAAGCCCACCAAGGCGACGAGCAGUAGCUGGUCUGAGAGGACGAUCAGCCAUACUGGGAGUGAGACACGGCCCAGACUCCUACGGGAGGCAGCAGUGGGGAAUUUUGGACAAUGGGGGAAACCCUGAUCCAGCAAUGCCGCGUGAGCGAAGAAGGCCUUCGGGUUGUAAAGCUCUUUUGUCAGGGAAGAAACACCGGCUCUAACACAGUCCGGGAAUGACGGUACCUGAAGAAUAAGCACCGGCUAACUACGUGCCAGCCGCCGCGGUAA